UAAUGAUCAUUUAAUUUAUUCUAAAAGAUUGUUUAGUGACCUCGAUAAUUAUUCGACUGUUGGCAUUUAUCGCAUACAGGUCGGCGCAUUUUUUUCAAAUAAAAUAUUCUCAAAUUUAGUAAUUUUUCCGUUGCUUCAAUUAAAACUUUCAUUCGACCAAAUGCAAUCAGUAGAAGUGGAAUACAAAGCAGAAAAAACAUGUUUUCUUUGUAUAUAUUAUUUGCCAAAGUUCAGGAGGUGAUGAUAGUUCCUUUUCAACAUACAGGGUGCUAAAUAAUGAAGUUAUGCAAUAAUUAUGUUUAUUUGUUUUAUCGAAACGUUUAUAUGCGUCAAAAAUCAUUAGUCAAUGGCUCAUGUAAUUCUGAAUUACCGUUUCAUUAAGUCGUCCCUUCCAGGAAGAUGGAACACAGUGGAUUUAAUUUUUUAUCUCGAAAACGGAGCGAAAUAACGAAAAAACUUAGAGACAUAAAAGUUGUAUUCCAAGUCCCUAAAUCCUAACAAAGUGGAAACAAUUUAAAUAAAUCAGUGGUCCGCAUUUUAUUCGUGAAAAAUCUUGACUAUUAAGUCCUCAGAGACGCCACUAAGCGCAUACCGUAAACCAGUAAAUUAUAUGGAUUGAUUGUGAUUUCUGAAAAAACAGCCUGCCGCUGACAAACUUAGGACUUUUUUUGGAAAAUUUACCGGAAAAAUAGCCGGAAUGGGACUCACAAAACAUGCCAAUUAUCUUAUUUCCAUCGCUACUGCUACAUAAAAAACUUAAGUAAACUCUUGUUUAAAACCAUAGGUAAAUUGUAGUCGGUUAUCCAUUCGAUUAGCGGGUUAGAAUUAAUUGAAUGUUCGAUAUGAA
Long non-coding RNA from Dendroctonus ponderosae (mountain pine beetle), 847 nucleotides. RefSeq lists it as uncharacterized. The transcript has 2 exons. NCBI's taxonomy places the organism in Eukaryota, Metazoa, Arthropoda, Insecta, Coleoptera, Curculionidae. The record is from RefSeq and is a predicted model, not a curated record.